Molecule: microRNA precursor, 97 nt
Organism: Myotis lucifugus (little brown bat)
Lineage: Eukaryota; Metazoa; Chordata; Mammalia; Chiroptera; Vespertilionidae
Source: Ensembl
GGUGACCAACUGUCCUGGUUUGUCUGGGACUGAGGCAGGGUUCAGUUUUAAAACUGGGACAGUCCUAGACAAACUGGGAUGAGUUGGUUACUCAAGC